Molecule: ribosomal RNA, 404 nt
Filed under: Fusobacteriota bacterium
Lineage: Bacteria; Fusobacteriati; Fusobacteriota
Description: Fusobacteria bacterium partial 16S ribosomal RNA
Rfam family: Bacterial small subunit ribosomal RNA
Source: RNAcentral
CGGGGAAUAUUGCACAAUGGAGGGAACUCUGAUGCAGCGACGCCGCGUGAGUGAUGAAGGAAUUCGUUUCGUAAAACUCUGUUCUAUGGGAAGAAAAGGACUGUACCAUAGGAGAAAGCUCCGGCUAAAUACGUGCCAGCAGCCGCGGUAAUACGUAUGGAGCGAGCGUUGUCCGGAAUUAUUGGGCGUAAAGGGUGCGCAGGCGGCUUUACAAGUUGGAUGUGAAAUAUUUUGGCUCAACCACAAACGUGCAUCCAAAACUGCAAAGCUUGAGUUAAGGAGAGAUACGUGGAAUUCCUGGUGUUGCGGUGGAAUGCGUAGAUAUCAGGAGGAAUACCGGAGGCGAAGGCGGCUUACUGGACUUAAACUGACGCUCAGGCACGAAAGCGUGGGGAGCAAGCAGG